GCUAAAAACCUAGCUCAACUUCAUGUAAAUGCCACAACCAAAUAACCGCAAUUAAACAAAACAUUUUAAAUUUUUAGUAAAGGCGAUUGAAAAAUACUCAGGAGCUAUAAUAACAGUACCGCAAGGGAAAGGUGAAAUAAAAGUGAAAUAACUUUAAAGCAAAACUAAGCAGAGAUUUAACCUCGUACCUUUUGCAUCAUGGUCUAGCUAGUCCAACCAAGCAAAACGCAAUUAUAGUUUGACACCCCGAAACUAGGUGAGCUACUUCAAAACAGCCUUCAAGGGCCAACCCGUCUCUGUUGCAAAAGAGUGGGAAGAUUUUCAAGUAGAGGUGAUAGACCUACCGAACCUAGAGAUAGCUGGUUAUUCAGGAAAAGGAUCUAAGUCCUACCUUAAGUUUUCUCAUACUUCAUAAUAUCCCCACAAACUUAAGAGCUAUUCAAAUAAGGUACAGCCUAUUUGAAACAGGAAACAACCUUUAAUAUAGGGUAAUGACUUUUUUUAUGUGACCAAGUGGGCCUAAAAGCAGCCAACUUUUAAACAGCGUUAAAGCUUCAUCACUUCAUUUAACUAAUUACUAUAAUAUUACAAAACCCUUUACCACUACUGAAUGACUCCAUAACCCUAUGGAGAACACUAUGCUAGAACUAGUAACAAGAAGAAGACCUUCUCCAAAAUGUAAGUGUAAGCCAAAAUGAACCCCUCACUGGCACUUAUCGUCUAUGAACUAAUAGUAGUAACCGUACAAGAAAAACCUACUUAUUUAAACGUUAACCUUACACCAGAACAUUACCGGAAAGAUUAAAAAAAGAGGAAGGAACUCGGCAAAUUUUAACCCCGCCUGUUUACCAAAAACAUCGCCUCCUGAAAUAUUCAUAGGAGGUCCAGCCUGCCCAGUGACAAAGUUAAACGGCCGCGGUACCCUAACCGUGCGAAGGUAGCGCAAUCACUUGUUCUUUAAAUGAGGACUAGUAUGAAUGGCAUCACGAGGGUUAUACUGUCUCCCCCUUUUAAUCAGUGAAACUGAUCUUCCCGUGAAGAAGCGGGAAUAUACAUAUAAGACGAGAAGACCCCAUGGAGCUUAAAACUCAGUAUCAACUGCCCCUUAAUAUACCCAUUUAAUUAAGCAGAUAUGACCACUAGUUUUCGGUUGGGGUGACCGCGGAGCAAAACAAAACCUCCACGAUGAAAGGAAUUAACCUCCUAAUCUAAGAGCUACAUCUCUAAGAAUCAACAAAUUGACAUUUAUUGAUCCAAUUUUUUUGAUCAACGAACCAAGUUACCCUGGGGAUAACAGCGCAAUCCAUUUCAAGAGCCCCUAUCGACAAAUGGGUUUACGACCUCGAUGUUGGAUCAGGGUAUCCCAGUGGUGCAGCCGCUACUAAAGGUUCGUUUGUUCAACGAUUAAAACCCU
RNAcentral lists this ribosomal RNA (1414 nucleotides) under Scaphiophryne spinosa. RNAcentral describes it as "partial large subunit ribosomal RNA". It matches the Rfam family "Bacterial large subunit ribosomal RNA", at positions 161 to 2597 of the family's 2925-position model. Lineage: Eukaryota; Metazoa; Chordata; Amphibia; Anura; Microhylidae. The record is from RNAcentral.